Molecule: long non-coding RNA, 752 nt
Organism: Tupaia belangeri chinensis (Chinese tree shrew)
Lineage: Eukaryota; Metazoa; Chordata; Mammalia; Scandentia; Tupaiidae
Exons: 3
Source: RefSeq, a predicted model, not a curated record
CCUGUGGCAACCGGGCGCGGACUUGUUCCUCAGAAUGACUCCGGAGGAGCUGAGUGUCUUGCCCAGAGUCGCCUCUCUGGGUUUCUCCACUGCUACAGGACUCCAGAUCCAGCUGUGGAAAUUCUGGUCCUGUCCAGAGCCUGUGGUGGUAAUUCAUGCCUCCUGACACCCAGUGAGUUACAUGAAGCUGAAGCGGACUCGGUUGUGCAAGCCUGUGGUGCCAGCUGCUCAGGAGGCUGAGGCAGGAGACAAUGCCGGUCAGGGUCAGCGAGGGCAACAGAAGGAGACCCUGUAUAAAACACCCCCCUACACACACACAGAACAUACAUGCAUGCACACACCAGUAAAAGAAUAGCUCAGCCUUGUAUCAGGGUUGAUAUUCUUUUAGUUGGUAGGUGAUUUAGGCACAAGUGGAUUAACUGCCAAAUUUCUGUCUGGCUAGUGUUACAUGAAGGUAAUUUUAAAAAAAAUUUAUACAUUCAAUCAAUAUAUACCACUUAGUCUGUAAGGUGAAUUUACCCAAUAUGAAAUAGGCUUCAUACAUAAAAGUAGUUUUGUCAUUUUGAGGUGGUGCUCUGAACUGCCAUGCUUUCCUGUUUCCCUCCUCUCAUUAAAGUUGAGCUCCUGAAAUGUAAGAGCUUUUCCAGCUUGAGGUGGAUGGGAGUAUGUAUGUAAGUAAGUAUAUGAGAAAUAAUAAAGACAGAUGUAGAAUUUUGUGGAAAAAUGUGCCUUCUAAUUUGGGAGAAAGGUAU